RNAcentral lists this ribosomal RNA (253 nucleotides) under uncultured bacterium. RNAcentral describes it as "partial 16S ribosomal RNA". It matches the Rfam family "Bacterial small subunit ribosomal RNA", at positions 524 to 776 of the family's 1533-position model. The record is from RNAcentral.
UACGUAGGGGGCAAGCGUUGUCCGGAUUUAUUGGGCGUAAAGAGCGUGUAGGCGGUUUGGUAGGUCCGUUGUGAAAACUCGAGGCUCAACCUCGAGACGUCGGUUGAAACCGUAUGGCUAGAGUCCGGAAGAGGAGAGUGGAAUUCCCGGUGUAGCGGUGAAAUGCGCAGAUAUCGGGAAGAACACCCGUGGCGAAGGCGGCUCUCUGGGACGGUACUGACGCUGAGACGCGAAAGCGUGGGGAGCGAACAGG